This 1431-nucleotide ribosomal RNA is filed under the name uncultured organism. Its description in RNAcentral is "16S ribosomal RNA". It matches the Rfam family "Bacterial small subunit ribosomal RNA". The record is from RNAcentral.
CGACAGGCUUAACACAUGCAAGUCGAGGGGCAGCACAGGUAGCAAUACCGGGUGGCGACCGGCGCACGGGUGAGUAACGCGUAUGCAACUUACCUAUCAGAGGGGGAUAACCCGGCGAAAGUCGGACUAAUACCGCAUGAAGCAGGGGCCCGCAUGGGGAUAUUUGCUAAAGAUUCAUCGCUGAUAGAUAGGCAUGCGUUCCAUUAGGCAGUUGGCGGGGUAACGGCCCACCAAACCGACGAUGGAUAGGGGUUCUGAGAGGAAGGUCCCCCACAUUGGUACUGAGACACGGACCAAACUCCUACGGGAGGCAGCAGUGAGGAAUAUUGGUCAAUGGCCGAGAGGCUGAACCAGCCAAGUCGCGUGAGGGAUGAAGGUUCUAUGGAUCGUAAACCUCUUUUAUAAGGGAAUAAAGUGCGGGACGUGUCCCGUUUUGUAUGUACCUUAUGAAUAAGGAUCGGCUAACUCCGUGCCAGCAGCCGCGGUAAUACGGAGGAUCCGAGCGUUAUCCGGAUUUAUUGGGUUUAAAGGGUGCGUAGGCGGCCUUUUAAGUCAGCGGUGAAAGUCUGUGGCUCAACCAUAGAAUUGCCGUUGAAACUGGGGGGCUUGAGUAUGUUUGAGGCAGGCGGAAUGCGUGGUGUAGCGGUGAAAUGCAUAGAUAUCACGCAGAACCCCGAUUGCGAAGGCAGCCUGCCAAGCCAUUACUGACGCUGAUGCACGAAAGCGUGGGGAUCAAACAGGAUUAGAUACCCUGGUAGUCCACGCAGUAAACGAUGAUCACUAGCUGUUUGCGAUACACUGUAAGCGGCACAGCGAAAGCGUUAAGUGAUCCACCUGGGGAGUACGCCGGCAACGGUGAAACUCAAAGGAAUUGACGGGGGCCCGCACAAGCGGAGGAACAUGUGGUUUAAUUCGAUGAUACGCGAGGAACCUUACCCGGGUUUGAACGCAUUCGGACCGAGGUGGAAACACCUUUUCUAGCAAUAGCCGUUUGCGAGGUGCUGCAUGGUUGUCGUCAGCUCGUGCCGUGAGGUGUCGGCUUAAGUGCCAUAACGAGCGCAACCCUUGCCACUAGUUACUAACAGGUAAAGCUGAGGACUCUGGUGGGACUGCCAGCGUAAGCUGCGAGGAAGGCGGGGAUGACGUCAAAUCAGCACGGCCCUUACAUCCGGGGCGACACACGUGUUACAAUGGCGUGGACAAAGGGAAGCCACCUGGCGACAGGGAGCGAAUCCCCAAACCACGUCUCAGUUCGGAUCGGAGUCUGCAACCCGACUCCGUGAAGCUGGAUUCGCUAGUAAUCGCGCAUCAGCCAUGGCGCGGUGAAUACGUUCCCGGGCCUUGUACACACCGCCCGUCAAGCCAUGGGAGCCGGGGGUACCUGAAGUCCGUAACCGCGAGGAUCGGCCUAGGGUAAAACUGGUGACUGGG